GGAGAUGGUGAUGUAAACCCUAAACCAUGUGACACUUUAAUAAAUCAUAGCGCCGACAGAAACAAACACACACUGUUCCAUCGACAGGCGAACAAAACACCAUUCUCCACAUCUAAUCAAACACAGCAGCGGGAAAAGAAGGCUAGAUAGAGCGCGCGCGAGAGGAUGUGCUGUCUGCCGGUGGAGCAGACUUUAGGCGCGCUCGGAGACUCCGUGUGCGCGCACGGAUGCGCUCCGCUGCCGUUUGCGCACCGACUGCGCUUGAUCGGAGACCAGCUGGAGAAGAGAUGGGCUGCAAACGACAAAAGCUCCGACGAUGGGCAACGAAGCGGCGGGGAAAACAUCAUCAAAAGCUUCCAAAUAGUGUGCACAGUCAUUCAAGUAACGCUUCUGGUGUUUUUAGUCAAAAAGCGACACCUGUAGGUGAGACGAGGCCCUGCUGGUCUACAGCAACAGAUGAAUCUUCAGAUUCUCCUGGGACGAUCCGCUCCAGAUUUAUCGGAGAGGAGAAGGCGCCGGUCACGUCUGCACUCUGUAGAAACUUGCCAUGCAAACAGUGGGUCAAUGUUUUCUCAUCCAUGUAUAUCUGACAACUUUUGCAGUAGUGUUGUAAUGGAAACAUGCAAACAGCAGACGCAUCUGUGCUGUACAUUACAAGCUGAUCACUUUCAUAACGACCAAUACUUCAUCCUGAAGUCUUCUCGAUUACCGAAGCAUGGCAAGCCGAUGUCGUUUGGUACGCGUUUGUUUGGUUCGAAGUCUUAAGGUCAGUGCAGUCAAACCCAGCGGUGUCUCCUGGGGAAACUUACAAAAUAAAAGGCUGAUGUCAUUGUCCCUCGGCGUUUACGAGGAAAUUUUUUCUACCACUACGGCAAUAGGAGCCUUGCCUCAACUUUGAUGACCUUACAGUUGAGUUUUUCUUGUUGAGAGGGUGCUUUGGAUAUGCAAAAGCUGUAAAUGAUUAAAAUAUGAUCAAUCACGGUCAAUCUUCAGAGGAGAGAUACCAAAAACACUGCUACCAAAACCUCUCCUCUGCAUAAUGCACUGUAACAUUUAGUUAUAAGCUACUGUAAGUGACUAUGCCAUUCAAUAUCUGAGCUGUGAUUUUGUUUCUUUGUUGUUUUUAUGAGAUAUUUAUUAGUUUUAUUGUCCUUUACACUGUACUCUUCUCGAUGGAAAGCAUAUUUAUACUGUAGAAUGAUUUUAAGUGUAUUUGAACUUGAUGUUGUUUACAGAUGAAGACAAAUCUUUUUUAGGACUUUUUAUAAAGGGCUUCUGGCUUGAUUGUUUGUGUCAGUGUUAAUAUAGAAAUGUGACAUGAAUGAGAUUUCAUGCGAAAUGUGAAUCAAAAGGGCAUGCUACUGAUGUUUACAUAAGCUACAAUCUUUUAUAGUUUACGUUACUACCAUGUGUUUAAAACAUGUUUUACCUCUGCUAUUUUGAUAUUGUGAGUUUUGUCAUUUAUGAAAAUAAAAAGGCUUUAAAUAUA
Molecule: long non-coding RNA, 1489 nt
Organism: Megalobrama amblycephala (Wuchang bream)
Lineage: Eukaryota; Metazoa; Chordata; Actinopteri; Cypriniformes; Xenocyprididae
Exons: 2
Source: RefSeq, a predicted model, not a curated record